This 881-nucleotide ribosomal RNA is filed under the name uncultured bacterium. RNAcentral's name for it is "bacterial SSU rRNA". It matches the Rfam family "Bacterial small subunit ribosomal RNA", at positions 58 to 916 of the family's 1533-position model. The record is from RNAcentral.
CAAGUCGAACGGGAUUUUUUUCUGUAGCAAUACAGAAAAAAGUCUAGUGGCGAACGGGUGCGUAACACGUGAGCAACCUACCGUGAAGUGGGGGAUAGCUCGCCGAAAGGCGAAUUAAUACCGCAUGUGGCCAGGAAGGACAUCCUUCCGACGCCAAAGCCGGGGUAACCUGGCGCUUCUCGAGGGGCUCGCGGCCUAUCAGCUUGUUGGUGAGGUAACGGCUCACCAAGGCUAUGACGGGUAGCUGGUCUGAGAGGACGACCAGCCACACUGGAACUGAGACACGGUCCAGACACCUACGGGUGGCAGCAGUCGAGAAUUUUUCACAAUGGGGGAAACCCUGAUGGAGCGACGCCGCGUGGAGGAUGACGGUUUUCGGAUUGUAAACUCCUGUCAUUAGAGAACAAGGCACAUGGUUUAACUGGCCGUGUGUUGAUAGUAUCUGAAGAGGAAGAGACGGCUAACUCUGUGCCAGCAGCCGCGGUAAUACAGAGGUCUCAAGCGUUGUUCGGAUUCAUUGGGCGUAAAGGGUGCGUAGGUGGCGAGGUAAGUCGGAUGUGAAAUCUCCAAGCUCAACUUGGAAACUGCAUUCGAUACUGCUUUGCUAGAGGAUUGUAGAGGGCAUUGGAAUUCACGGUGUAGCAGUGAAAUGCGUAGAUAUCGUGAGGAAGACCAGUGGCGAAGGCGAAUGCCUGGGCAAUUCCUGACACUGAGGCACGAAGGCCAGGGGAGCAAACGGGAUUAGAUACCCCGGUAGUCCUGGCAGUAAACGGUGCACGUUUGGUGUGGGAGGAUUCGACCCCUUCCGUGCCGGAGCUAACGCGUUAAACGUGCCGCCUGGGGAGUACGGUCGCAAGAUUAAAACUCAAAGAAAUUGACGG